UGCCGGCCUCUGCGUCCCUGAGACCCUUUAACCUGUGAGGACGUCCAGGGUCACAGGUGAGGUUCUUGGGAGCCUGGCGUCCGGCC
MicroRNA precursor from Bos mutus (wild yak), 86 nucleotides. NCBI's taxonomy places the organism in Eukaryota, Metazoa, Chordata, Mammalia, Artiodactyla, Bovidae. The record is from Ensembl.